GACGAACGCUGGCGGCGUGCUUAACACAUGCAAGUCGAACGGAAAGUCCCUGCUUUGGGGGGGUGCUCGAGUUGCGAACGGGUGAGUAACACGUGAGUAACCUGCCCUUGACUUUGGGAUAACUUCAUGAAACUGGGAGUAAUACCGGAUAGGAUCUACUGCUGCAUGGUGGGGGUUGGAAGGUUUCGGUGGUUGGGGAGUGACUCGCGGCCUAUCAGCUUGUUGGAGGGGUAGUGGCUUACCAAGGCCUUGACGGGUAGCCGGCCUGAGCGGAUAAGCGGCCAAGUUGGGACUGAGAUGAGGCACAGACUACUCCGGGAGGCAGCAGUGGGGAAUAUUGUACAAUGGGCGGAAGCAUGAUGCAGUAAAGCAGCGUGCGGGAUGACGGCAUUCGGGUUGUAAAGCGAUUUCGCCUGAGACGAAGCGUGAAUGACGGUAAUGGGUAAAGAAGCACCGGCUAACUACGUG
Molecule: ribosomal RNA, 468 nt
Filed under: uncultured bacterium
Lineage: Bacteria
Description: partial 16S ribosomal RNA
Rfam family: Bacterial small subunit ribosomal RNA
Source: RNAcentral